GCGGGCAUAGCUCAGUGGUAGAGCGUGACCUUGCCAAGGUCGAUGUCGCGUGUUCGAGUCACGUUGCCCGCU
RNAcentral lists this transfer RNA (72 nucleotides) under Gonyostomum semen. Its description in RNAcentral is "tRNA-Gly". It matches the Rfam family "tRNA". Rfam says of the family: Transfer RNA (tRNA) molecules are approximately 80 nucleotides in length. Lineage: Eukaryota; Raphidophyceae; Chattonellales; Vacuolariaceae. The record is from RNAcentral.